Gorilla gorilla gorilla (western lowland gorilla) is the source of this 384-nucleotide long non-coding RNA. RefSeq lists it as uncharacterized. The record is from RefSeq and is a predicted model, not a curated record. The transcript has 3 exons. Lineage: Eukaryota; Metazoa; Chordata; Mammalia; Primates; Hominidae.
AUGAAGUUAACAUUUUUUUUUAACCUAAGAUCCAGACCCAUUAAAAGAAACAACUGUCUCUUCUCCUCCCUGAAAAACCAAGAAUGUAACCAUGCUUGAACACACCCUUUGACAGGCAGGAGCAAGAUGCUGAAUUAUGAUGCUGUGUGCUGAAUCGGGGAACCCUGGAGGAAGUGAUGGUUUAGAUCGGGAGUUCCAUUUUGAGCAUGAAACCCGGUUCACUACAGGAUAUGCCUCUGUACUUUCUGCUGCCUUCUGCCUACAUGAUCAAUGUGAAGCCAGGCCCAGACAUGUCUCAUCUAGAAUGAUUUGAGAAGAAUUUGAUUUCACUUUUCUGAGAAGGUUGGGAAAGAUUCUGACUUUAUCCAGUUUACCAGACAUGGC